Molecule: ribosomal RNA, 271 nt
Filed under: uncultured prokaryote
Description: partial 16S ribosomal RNA
Rfam family: Bacterial small subunit ribosomal RNA
Source: RNAcentral
UACGUAGGUGGCGAGCGUUGUCCGGAUUUACUGGGCGUAAAGGGAGCGUAGGCGGACUUUUAAGUGAGAUGUGAAAUACCCGGGCUCAACUUGGGUGCUGCAUUUCAAACUGGAAGUCUAGAGUGCAGGAGAGGAGAAUGGAAUUCCUAGUGUAGCGGUGAAAUGCGUAGAUAUUAGGAAGAACACCAGUGGCGAAGGCGAUUCUCUGGACUGUAACUGACGCUGAGGCUCGAAAGCGUGGGAGCAAACAGGAUUAGAUACCCGGUACGGU